GCAGUGUAACAGCAAUGCAGCCGGGUGUGUGUGUGUGUGUGUCCGUCCCUGUGUGUGUUAUUAGUAGAAACAGCACUCGUGCUGGCGAUGGGACCUUGAUGCGUCCGAGGCUGCAGCAUCUCCUCUCUGCUACAUUUACCCACAAGCCCCUGUUUUCCUGCUGCACCUCUCCUCUCCGUCCUCUCCUCGUCUCUCCGUCCUGCUCUAGAGUCUGAGUUAUAAACCUGUCAACCCUCACAGACACAGAUAAGAGAUCAGCGUUGCAGAGCGGCGUUUGCAGAGCGGCGUUGCAGAGCCGCUCGGCUCGGCAGAGCGGUCUAAAGUUGAAGGUGAGCCCUUGAAGGACACGCUUCCUGUCGCAGUCCUGUCGUUUCCGGGUUUGCUGCUCAGGUGAUCGUCGGGGGGGCGGGGCUUGUGGAGGCUCCGGUAACAGAGGGAAUAAAAACUACCACACGCCCAGAGGUCAGUGCAGCUUCAGCUGCACCACCCCCCCCCCCCCCUGGAAAACAGCUGAUUCAGGCUCGGGCCACGAGGAUGCAACACAGAAACACAGAUGUGAAGGGAAAGUAGUGGAGGGAAGGGGGCCGGCGGAGAAGGAGGAAACCAGGAAGAGCUGCAACGUUCUGCAGGGACAAGGUGACUCCUGCAGCCCGACGCCCAGAGGACACGCUCACGUCAUUAAACCUGCACAUACUUUAAUCCAGGAGUCACAAUAAAGGCUUGAUGAGGAGGAAUCUUCCCUGCAAUCCUGUUAACAGUUACAGUAUUUAUGCUUCCCUCAGGAAACCUCACACAUCUUUAUUCUUUUGACCUUUUCUUUCUGGCUUCAGCACCCGGGGGUCAUGAAGAUGAGAGGUCUCACUGCAGAAUCCCCCCCUGAUGAGGCAGGAAACCCCCCAUCAUCACACACACUCAUAUCCCACCAGACAUGCAGUUAGUGUUUUGUCCCCCCAGAGAUCUCUGCCCGGACCCCAGGGGGGGGAGGACCCCAGGUUGGGAGACACUGCCCUACAGAGCUAUUGCUGAAUGGAAUUCUCUUCCGGGUUACAUUUCUAAAACCCAGAGCAAGAUUGUGUUGCCUGACCUAUGGAUCCUGCUGGUGAUCCCCUGAUGAAGUGGUCCUGGAAACGGACACGGGGAAAGAUGAACAUGGGUGGGGCUGCAUUUCCGGUGGCAUUUACUGCACAGGCCACAGUGACGAGCUCCCCUCUUUCAGCCGAUGUUACAGAACCCACUUGCUUCUUCCCCAUUUCUGUUAAAUUUUCUUCCGUGUCUGCACUGUUGUAACUGUCAGGGUUUGACACUUCCCCCAGUUUGAGUUUCAGUUCUGUCCCUCCUGUGUCCCAUCUGCCCUGAUUGUCUGCACCUGUGUCUCGUCGUGUCUCGUUAUCCCCUGUUAUAUCUGGUCUUGUCAUUCCCUUGUUCCCUGUCGGUCCGUACUGUUCUUCCCUCCAUGUUUCCCCUGGUUUUUUGGAUUCCUGUU
This is a long non-coding RNA of Cololabis saira (Pacific saury), 1483 nucleotides long. RefSeq lists it as uncharacterized. The record is from RefSeq and is a predicted model, not a curated record. The transcript has 3 exons. NCBI's taxonomy places the organism in Eukaryota, Metazoa, Chordata, Actinopteri, Beloniformes, Belonidae.